CGAGCGCGCGAGUGAGGAUCGCCGGCGGGGCUUGCUCCGUCGGAGGAAAGUCCGAGCUCCGUAGGGCAGGGUGCCGGGUAACGCCCGGGCGCCGUGAGGCGAUGGAAAGUGCCACAGAAAGCAAACCGCCGAUGGCCGCCGCGAGGCGGCACAGGCAAGGGUGAAAGGGUGCGGUAAGAGCGCACCGGGCCUCUGGCAACAGGGGUCGCAUGGUAAACCCCACCCGGAGCAAGGCCAUGUAGGGGACGAGGGGCUGCCCGCCCCGUCUGAGUCCCGGGUAGGCCGCUCGAGGCCGUCGGUAACGGCGGUCCCAGAUGAAUGAUUCUCCCCCGCGAGGGGACAGAACUCGGCUUAUUCCGCGCGCUCGCUCC
Molecule: RNase P RNA, 371 nt
Filed under: Longimicrobiales bacterium
Lineage: Bacteria; Pseudomonadati; Gemmatimonadota; Longimicrobiia; Longimicrobiales
Description: RNase P RNA component class A
Rfam family: Bacterial RNase P class A
About the family: Ribonuclease P (RNase P) is a ubiquitous endoribonuclease, found in archaea, bacteria and eukarya as well as chloroplasts and mitochondria.
Source: RNAcentral